Armigeres subalbatus is the source of this 814-nucleotide long non-coding RNA. RefSeq lists it as uncharacterized. NCBI's taxonomy places the organism in Eukaryota, Metazoa, Arthropoda, Insecta, Diptera, Culicidae. The transcript is spliced from 3 exons. The record is from RefSeq and is a predicted model, not a curated record.
UUUGUGCGGUGCUGUCAACUUCGCAAAAACUUGGCCUUCAAUUCAGUCGCGAUUUGUGUGUGCAAAUCGUGAAAAUAAAUCGAAAAACGACCAGCCAAUGAUGGAUUCGCGUGCAAAACUGUGCACGGCCAGUAAAUCUAAGAUCAGCGGAUUUAAACUGGCAUUUGGCUUAGCUGACGGUGAGCUCUUCAAAACAACAACAUCGUCGGCGUGCGCACAGCUGCUUUCGUUGCUUCUUCCAAGCAUAUAUCAUCGAUAAUCUUGAAACAGACCCGGACGGUGAAUUCGGUGGGUUUAUGACCAAGAUGGUUUGUCAAAUUCAGCCGGUACGACCAUUGUACAAAGUGGUUACUUGAAGUGGAGGAUUCUGCAGACGCACCCCUUCAUUACAACAGUUAUUUCGACGGCGUACGCACAGCCAAUUUCGAUGAACCCUGGGACCGACGAUUCUUGGACGACGGGCUUCUUGGACGACGGGACGACGGGCUUCUUGGACGACGGGACGACGGGCUUCUUGGACGACGGGCUCCGACGCAACGGUGAAUUAGCGACCAAUGUCCAUCAGAAGUCCUAGCUGCUAGCUAAGACUUGCAGACGGUACGACCAAGGCGUGCACUGUGAAAUGGAUCCGUGCUUAAACUGAAGCAUGGCUUAACUGAUCCAGAACUGGCUGUUGGCCUUCGUUUUAUGCUGCUCAGGAUGAUACCAGUGGAAGUCAUCGAACAGAUCGUGAAAACAGAGAAGACAGUUCCGAUUUCCUGGUGGAGAAGGAACUCUCCCAAAAUAAUCUUGUCUGAUACGCUAGAGAUCUCGG